Molecule: non-coding RNA, 417 nt
Organism: Kogia breviceps (pygmy sperm whale)
Lineage: Eukaryota; Metazoa; Chordata; Mammalia; Artiodactyla; Physeteridae
Source: RefSeq, a predicted model, not a curated record
UUGAAGAUUAAAUGCCAUCAAGAACAACAUGGUAACUACCUGGACCAGGAAGUUCAUGACCAACCAAAUACUUCAGUGGAAACAAAUGAUCAUCGAUGUCCUUCAUCCUGGGAAGGCAACAGUACCUAAGACAGAAAUUCGGGAAAAACUAGCCAAAAUGUACAAGACCACACCAGAUGUCAUCUUUGUGUUUGGAUUCAGAACCCAUUUUGGUGGUGGCAAGACAACUGGCUUUGGCAUGAUUUACGAUUCCCUGGAUUAUGUGAAGAAGGAUGAGCCCAAACACAGGCUUGCAAGACAUGGCCUCUGCACGGGAAGAAAAACACCUCAAGAAAACAGGAAAAGGAAUGCAAGAGCAGAAUAAAGAAAGUCAGGGGGACUACAAAGGACAGUGUCGGUGCCUGCAAAAAGCAAUGA